AGAGUUUGAUCCGUGGACUCAGGACGAACGCUGGCGGGCGUGCUUAACACAUGCAAGUCGAACGGGGAUUAAGGUGGAAGUCCUUCGGGGUGGAAAUCUUAAUUCCAGUGGCGGACGGGUGAGUAACGCGUGAACAAUCUGUCCCAGACAGGGGAAUAACACUUGGAAACAGGUGCUAAUACCGCAUAAGACCACGGUGUCGCAUGGCACGAGGGGUAAAAGGAGGAAUCCGGUUUGGGGUGAGUUCGCGUCCGAUUAGAUAGUUGGUGAGGUAACGGCUCACCAAGUCGACGAUCGGUAGCCGACCUGAGAGGGUGAUCGGCCACAUUGGAACUGAGAGACGGUCCAAACUCCUACGGGAGGCAGCAGUGGGGGAAUAUUGGGCAAUGGGCGAAAGCCUGACCCAGCAACGCCGCGUGAGCGAAGAAGGCUUUCGGGUUGUAAAGCUCCGUUAUAGGGGACGAAGGAAGUGACGGUACCCUAUAAGGAAGCCCCGGCUAACUACGUGCC
Molecule: ribosomal RNA, 510 nt
Filed under: uncultured organism
Description: SSU rRNA
Rfam family: Bacterial small subunit ribosomal RNA
Source: RNAcentral